This 492-nucleotide ribosomal RNA is filed under the name uncultured bacterium. RNAcentral's name for it is "partial 16S ribosomal RNA". It matches the Rfam family "Bacterial small subunit ribosomal RNA", at positions 29 to 507 of the family's 1533-position model. The record is from RNAcentral.
AGUGAACGCUGGCGGUAGGCCUAACACAUGCAAGUCGAACGGCAGCACAGUAAGAGCUUGCUCUUACGGGUGGCGAGUGGCGGACGGGUGAGGAAUACAUCGGAAUCUACUUUUUCGUGGGGGAUAACGUAGGGAAACUUACGCUACUACCGCAUACGACCUACGGGUGAAAGCAGGGGAUCUUCGGACCUUGCGCGAUUGAAUUAGCCGAUGUCGGAUUAGCUAGUUGGCGGGGUAAAGGCCCACCAAGGCGACGAUCCGAAGCUGGUCUGAGGGGAUGAUCCGGCACACUGGAACUUAGGCACGGUCCAGAACCCUACGGGGAGGAGCAGUUGGGAAUUUUGGACAAUGGGCGCAAGCCUGGUCCAGCCAAACCGCGUGGAUGAAGAAGGCCUUCGGGUUGUAAAGCCCUUUUGUUGGGAAAGAAAAGCAGCAGGUUAAUACCCCGCUGUUCUGACGGUACCCAAAGAAGAAGCACCGGCUAACUUCGUG